This 401-nucleotide ribosomal RNA is filed under the name bacterium enrichment culture clone ALO1_GLFRUDD03F7GSX. RNAcentral's name for it is "bacterial SSU rRNA". It matches the Rfam family "Bacterial small subunit ribosomal RNA", at positions 9 to 412 of the family's 1533-position model. The record is from RNAcentral.
GAGUUUGAUCCUGGCUCAGAUUGAACGCUGGCGGCAGGCCUAACACAUGCAAGUCGAGCGGAUGACGGGAGCUUGCUCCUUGAUUCAGCGGCGGACGGGUGAGUAAUGCCUAGGAAUCUGCCUGGUAGUGGGGGACAACGUUUCGAAAGGAACGCUAAUACCGCAUACGUCCUACGGGAGAAAGCAGGGGACCUUCGGGCCUUGCGCUAUCAGAUGAGCCUAGGUCGGAUUAGCUAGUUGGUGGGGUAAUGGCUCACCAAGGCGACGAUCCGUAACUGGUCUGAGAGGAUGAUCAGUCACACUGGAACUGAGACACGGUCCAGACUCCUACGGGAGGCAGCAGUGGGGAAUUUUGGACAAUGGGGGCAACCCUGAUCCAGCCAUGCCGCGUGAGUGAAGAA